This 726-nucleotide ribosomal RNA is filed under the name uncultured Alphaproteobacteria bacterium. RNAcentral describes it as "bacterial SSU rRNA". It matches the Rfam family "Bacterial small subunit ribosomal RNA", at positions 8 to 780 of the family's 1533-position model. The record is from RNAcentral. Lineage: Bacteria; Pseudomonadati; Pseudomonadota; Alphaproteobacteria.
AGAGUUUGAUCCUGGCUCAGAACGUACGCUGGCGGCACGCCUAAUACAUGCAAGUCGAACGAAGUAGCAAUACUUAGUGGCAGACGGGUGAGUAACAUGUGGUAUCUUCCCUUUGGUGAGGAAUAACACGAGGAAACUUGUGCUAAUACCUCAUAAGUCUUUACAGAGAAAGCUUUAUGCGCCAUUGGAUGAGCCUGCACUUGAUUAGUUUGUUGGUGGGGUAAUGGCUUACCAAGACAACGAUCAAUAGCUGAUUUGAGAGGAUGAUCAGCCACAUUGGGACUGAGACACGGCCCAAACUCCUACGGGAGGCAGCAGUAGGGAAUCUUGCACAAUGGAGGAAACUCUGAUACAGCGAUGCCGCGUGAGUGAAGAAGGCCUUUGGGUUGUAAAGCUCUUUCGUCGGGGAAGAAAAUGACUGUACCCGAAUAAGAAGGUCCGGCUAACUUCGUGCCAGCAGCCGCGGUAAUACGAAGGGACCUAGCGUAGUUCGGAAUUACUGGGCUUAAAUAGUUCGUAGGUGGUUAAAAAAGUUGAUGGUGAAAUCCCAGAGCUUAACUCUGGAACUGCCAUCAAAACUUUUUAGCUAGAGUAUGAUAGAGGAAAGCAGAAUUUCUAGUGUAGAGGUGAAAUUCGUAGAUAUUAGAAAGAAUACCAAUUGCGAAGGCAGCUUUCUGGAUCAUUACUGACGCUGAGGAACGAAAGCAUGGGUAGCGAAGAGGAUUA